GAGGAAUAUUGGACAAUGGGCGCAAGCCUGAUCCAGCCAUGCCGCGUGAGUGAAGAAGGCCCUCGGGUUGUAAAGCUCUUUUGUCCGGAAAGAAAAGCAUCGGGUUAAUACCCCGGUGUUCUGACGGUACCGGAAGAAUAAGCACCGGCUAACUUCGUGCCAGCAGCCGCGGUAAUACGAAGGGUGCAAGCGUUACUCGGAAUUACUGGGCGUAAAGCGUGCGUAGGUGGUUCGUUAAGUCUGAUGUGAAAGCCCUGGGCUCAACCUGGGAAUGGCAUUGGAAACUGGCGGACUGGAGUGCGGUAGAGGGUAGCGGAAUUCCCGGUGUAGCAGUGAAAUGCGUAGAGAUCGGGAGGAACAUCCGUGGCGAAGGCGGCUACCUGGACCAGCACUGACACUGAGGCACGAAAGCGUGGGGAGCAAAC
This 425-nucleotide ribosomal RNA is filed under the name uncultured bacterium. RNAcentral describes it as "bacterial SSU rRNA". It matches the Rfam family "Bacterial small subunit ribosomal RNA", at positions 356 to 773 of the family's 1533-position model. The record is from RNAcentral.